CCAGCCAGAGCGAUUGAUUUCGCUCAACACAGCGUAAAGCUCCAGCUGUGUUGAUUGAGCGUAUGAUGUCCCUCUGCAGCAGCAACGUAUUUUAACUGCAGUUGCAGCGUUGCACCACUAUAGAGGCGCUAUAUCAACAGCAGUGCAUCGGAAAGACCUGAAGCAUCUACCGAAGAAGAAACGGAUCGAAUCAUGUUUUUUUUCCCGCUAGUUGGUGCUAUCGGCGUCCUGAUUUUCCCUGGCGGCUGGACACAAACAGGUAAAUACUGCUUGUCUUUUUUGCAUCCGAGCAUGACGUGUUUAUUUAAAAAAAAAGUUUACUCCGUUUUUAGCGUUGCAGUUAUGACGGGCAAAAUCAGCCAGUACUUUAAAAAGCGACCUCGCGAGGAGGAAAGUCAAGAGUCCAGGUGAAACACAGCAGAGAAAAAAAAGGAACAGGCAGUUAAAAUGCUAUAAUUCAUGGUGGUGACAAUGUGGAAAUUUGUGUCAGGUCUGAAAGUACUUCACAAGGGACUGGUGAUCGCGAGGGUCAGAAUGCAGGACAGGACGAGUCGGCGAGGCGAGGGUAAUUAAUUAAUUAGUUUCCAAUUAGGAGCAUAACAACGCAGAGCCGACGUGUACGUGGUUUUUAUUCCUCUUUCCAGAUCUUCUCAAAAACACAGAGCCAGUGGCUUUGACAAGCAGUGGCUCAAUCAAUUUACCUGGCUCAGGCAUACUGAGGAAGGCAUGCACUGCUAUUUAUGCCAAAAGCACUGUGCCCCAACACAGCAGGCAAUUGCUGCCUCCUUAGUGAGACAGCCAUCAACCAACUACAGGCUGGACACAUUAAAAAGACAUGAGGUGAUAGUCGUUCACAAAGCAGCAGAAGAGAAGGAGAAGUAUAUUAAAGAUGGUAGUACCUAAAAACACUCAACUAAUAAAGUUACAAAAACUAAAAUAACAUAGUUUAGAUAGUUUAAGAAAUAAUUGGUUGUCGUUUUUUUUAGGGAGGACACUGCAACGUAUACAUAUAUAUAAUAUAUGAUUGAAAACACUAUCACUCUUCAUGUCUGUAUCAGAAUAAAAACAAAAAUACUUCAUGCAUGAUGAAUUGUUUUGUUUAAGGUGAAGACACCUCUGCGGAACAGACUGAAGGAGAGGCACUUGGAUGUCUGUUGUAAGGUGGCCGUUGAUGGACCAGACCAGGAGGCCUUGGACUACAAGGAGUGCAUGAGGAGGUUCUACAGAAUGAAAAAG
RNAcentral lists this long non-coding RNA (1236 nucleotides) under Xyrichtys novacula (pearly razorfish). The record is from RNAcentral. Lineage: Eukaryota; Metazoa; Chordata; Actinopteri; Labriformes; Labridae.